AGUGUGCCCUUUCCCUCCGGACUUUUUAGCAGUUCUGGGUAAAUAUUGAUUUGCCCCCGGUUUACCUUCUCCCUGACUGGCCAUUUGCAGACUAAGGAAUGAACCUCUGUGAAGACGUGAUUUCUGUCUUUACUUUCCGGUCCUUUCGUCUGUCCCCCACCCCUUCUUCCCUCCAAAUGGCAUUGUAAAACUCACAGUGACAAAGAGACAAAGUAGGGUUUGAGGCUCCAGUUCCUUGGGACUUGAGGGCAGUUUUACAUAAGGGUCAGACUUUGCAGCUGGAGGCCAAGGUCAAGUUGAAAGUUGCAGUCUAGUCAGAGUGAGAGAACUGCAAGGCAAGCCUGGAGACCAAGACAGCUGCAAAAGUCCCACCACCCACCUCCACUCA
This 388-nucleotide long non-coding RNA is filed under the name Jaculus jaculus (lesser Egyptian jerboa). RNAcentral's name for it is "HOXA transcript at the distal tip, conserved region 2 (ENSJJAG00000006264.1)". It matches the Rfam family "HOXA transcript at the distal tip, conserved region 2". The record is from RNAcentral. Lineage: Eukaryota; Metazoa; Chordata; Mammalia; Rodentia; Dipodidae.